UACGGGGGGGGCAAGCGUUGUUCGGAAUUACUGGGCGUAAAGGGCUCGUAGGCGGCCAACUAAGUCGGAUGUGAAAUCCCCAGGCUUAACCUGGGAAUUGCAUCCGAUACUGGAUGGCUUGAAUCCGGGAGAGGGAUGCGGAAUUCCAGGUGUAGCGGUGAAAUGCGUAGAUAUCUGGAGGAACACCGGUGGCGAAGGCGGCAUCCUGGACCGGCAUUGACGCUGAGGAGCGAAAGCGUGGGGAGCGAUCCGG
RNAcentral lists this ribosomal RNA (253 nucleotides) under uncultured bacterium. RNAcentral describes it as "partial 16S ribosomal RNA". It matches the Rfam family "Bacterial small subunit ribosomal RNA", at positions 524 to 776 of the family's 1533-position model. The record is from RNAcentral.